This 75-nucleotide transfer RNA is filed under the name Bacteroidota bacterium. RNAcentral's name for it is "Bacteroidetes bacterium tRNA-Pro". It matches the Rfam family "tRNA". Rfam says of the family: Transfer RNA (tRNA) molecules are approximately 80 nucleotides in length. Lineage: Bacteria; Pseudomonadati; Bacteroidota. The record is from RNAcentral.
CGGGGUAUAGCUCAGUCAGGUUAGAGUGCUCGUCUGGGGGGCGAGAGGUCGCCAGUUCGAAUCUGGCUACCCCGA